GUAGGUGAACCUGCGGAGGGAUCAUUACACAAUAUGAAAGCGGGCUGGCAUCCUUCGGGGUUACAGCCUUGCUGAAUUAUUCACCCGUGUCUUUUGCGUACUUCUUGUUUCCUUGGUGGGUUCGCCCACCAUAGGACAAACCAUAAACCUUUUGUAAUUGCAAUCAGCGUCAGUAAAAAAAAUUAAUAAUUACAACUUUUAACAACGGAUCUCUUGGUUCUGGCAUCGAUGAAGAACGCAGCAUCUGACU
RNAcentral lists this unclassified non-coding RNA (250 nucleotides) under plant metagenome. RNAcentral's name for it is "partial contains small subunit ribosomal RNA, internal transcribed spacer 1, and 5.8S ribosomal RNA". The stretch from base 194 to 250 matches the Rfam family "5.8S ribosomal RNA", at positions 1 to 54 of the family's 154-position model. The record is from RNAcentral.